CUAUGAAAGAUGUAUAAUUUUCAGUAUAUUUUAUGUUGCUGUUUAUGUUGCGUUUUAUGUUCCUUAACAUUGAUUUAUUUACUUUAAUUUAGCCUUCAUAACUCUUAUUGGCGGUCCCUGAUAAAUACGUCGGCAAACGAUGAUCACGUCACCGAUUCUCUGUGUGGACCGUUGCUUUAACUAUUCACUCUAUCCAUCCAUUCAUCAUUACUUUCCUCUCUUCUGGAAGGAAUCUUUUAUAAUUCCUCUCCAUAUGAAAGGUAACAAGUCUGAAGCAAUAAGUUAUAGAGACACAUAUGUCUAAGUUAACCGAUGUCCCUAAAAUGUUUUAGAAAAUUUGUACUCUGUACUUGAUAUAUUUAUGAAAUCACUUAUAUCUCCAGCUGGAUUUCAAGCUAUGUUCUAGGUCUCAAAGAGUUCUUAUCUUUAUCUGUUAUGGUUACUGCUGGAGUACCAGAGGGUAGCCAUCUAGGCCCCUUGUCACACUUUUUAUUAAUGCCCUGACUUUUGUAUUAACAAAUUCUACAGUACAUAUGUAUGUAUGUAUGUAAAUGAUGUUAAGCUCUGUGUCCAGUAUAAGGACAUUUCACUUCACUCUAGCUCGCAAUCAGAACGCAAUAAACUAGAUUAAACUCAUUAAACUAGACCCCAAGUUAACGUUUUCUGAACACAUUUUUACCAUGGUAAUUAAAGCCAUGGGCGUGCUUGAUUGGUUAUCAAAGGAAUUUGACCUUAAAUAACGUAGACUCUCUAUAUAUCGAUUGUUCGUCCGAUUAAGAAUACGAAUCAUGUGUAUGGUGCCCUCAGUACAACAUAUGUACAUCAGGACCUUUGCCACAGUUCCAAGAAGAGAAUCAAAAGGGUCGCAUGUUUUUGUACCCGGUACUCGAAGAGUACACAGGGUAUAUUGUAUUUGUGGGGAAUAGCGGUUGUAUGUAACGCACAGAAGGAAGCGUUUCCGACCCCAUAAAGUAUAUAUAUUCUUGAUCAGCAUCAAUAGUCGAGUCUGUCCGUCUGUCCGUCCGUCCGUCUGUCCGUCUGUCCGUCUUGUUUGUCGGCUAGUUCUUAUAGACUAUUAGAGCUAGAGCCACCAAAUUUUGGCUCCGGACUGCAGUAUGCUCACACUGAAACCAGUGUAUUUCAAAAAUGAGCCACGCCCCCUUCCGCCCCCGCAAAAGGGGGAAAACCUCCCAAAUCUACAGUUUUGAAGAUAAAAGAAAACUAAAAACUCCAUUUCGUAGGAAAUGGCCAUAUCUAUCAG
RNAcentral lists this long non-coding RNA (1261 nucleotides) under Drosophila guanche. The record is from RNAcentral. Lineage: Eukaryota; Metazoa; Arthropoda; Insecta; Diptera; Drosophilidae.